This 503-nucleotide ribosomal RNA is filed under the name uncultured bacterium. RNAcentral describes it as "bacterial SSU rRNA". It matches the Rfam family "Bacterial small subunit ribosomal RNA", at positions 28 to 524 of the family's 1533-position model. The record is from RNAcentral.
GACGAACGCUGGCGGCGUGGAUUAGGCAUGCAAGUCGAACGGUAUCAUCCUUUCGGGGGUGAGAGAGUGGCGAACUGGUGAGUAACACGUAGGUUAUCUACCCUCAAGACGGGGACAACCCAGGGAAACUUGGGCUAAUACUGGAUGUGAGCAACUUUUAGUUGUUUGAAAGGUGGCGUAAGCUGUCGCUUGGGGAUGAGCCUGCGUCCUAUUAGUUAGUUGGUGAGGUAACGGCUCACCUAGGCAAUGAUAGGUAGGCGGCCUUAACGGGUGGUCGCCCACACUGGGAUUGAGAUACGGCCCAGACUCCUACGGGAGGCAGCAGUCGAGAAUAGUCUACAAUGGUCGGAAGACUGAUAGUGCGACGCCGCGUGAACGAUGAAUCCCUUCGGGUGUAAAGUUCUUUUAUAUGUGAGCAGUGCUUCUUAUAUUAACAGUAUGGGGAGAGAGAUAUUAGCAUAUGAAUAAGCAACGGCUAACUCCGUGCCAGCAGCCGCGGUAAA